GAUGAAGAACGUAGCGAAAUGCGAUACGUAAUGUGAAUUGCAGAAUUCAGUGAAUCAUCGAGUCUUUGAACGCACAUUGCGCCCCCUGGUAUUCCGGGGGCCAUGCCUGUCCGAGCGUCAUUGCUGCCCUCAAGCACGGCUUGUGUGUUGGGCCUCCGUCCUCCUCCCGGGGGACGGGCCCGAAAGGCAGCGGCGGCACCGCGUCCGGUCCUCGAGCGUAUGGGGCUUCGUCACCCGCUCUUGUAGGCCCGGCCGGCGCUUGCCGACACAUCAAUCUUUUUUCCAGGUUGACCUCGGAUCAGGUAGGGAUACCCGCUGAACUUAAGCAUAUCAAUAACGGAGGA
RNAcentral lists this unclassified non-coding RNA (344 nucleotides) under soil metagenome. RNAcentral's name for it is "partial contains 5.8S ribosomal RNA, internal transcribed spacer 2, and large subunit ribosomal RNA". The stretch from base 1 to 120 matches the Rfam family "5.8S ribosomal RNA", at positions 35 to 154 of the family's 154-position model. The record is from RNAcentral.